RNAcentral lists this long non-coding RNA (2042 nucleotides) under Rattus norvegicus (Norway rat). RNAcentral's name for it is "long non-coding RNA NONRATT004540". The record is from RNAcentral. Lineage: Eukaryota; Metazoa; Chordata; Mammalia; Rodentia; Muridae.
GCUUGUUAAUGGAUGUUUAAUUUGUCCCUUAGGACCCCAUAUCCGUGCUAUAGUUAUGAUGCUCAGUUUAGUGUUAGAACUCUCAACAAUCUUCCAGAAGUCUAGAUGUGGUCACAGAGAGACAAAUGGCUGGGAUCUACAGCCGAGUCUAGCUAGCCAGACUGUGAAUCUCUGAUCCAUGAAGCGUCCAGCCACAGUGUGAGGAGCAGCAGCAGACGGACCUGUCCCUUCGCCUAGGGACUCUAAACCAGUCUCUGCCUCCCACCAGGGGUUGCGUGUUCUCACACAGACCUCUCGUUUCUGACAGGUCUGGAGGUUGAAGAAUCCACUGUCUAUUCACGCAUGAUCCAGGCGGCUGCACAGCAGAAAGAUACCCAUCUCACCAUCACCCCAACAGUGCUGGGGGAGAGGCACCUGCCAGACCAGCUGGCCUCUGUGACUAGAAUCUCCUCCUCUGACCUUUCCCUGGGCCAUGUGACCCGGGCCCUAUGCAGAGGCAUUGUUCAGAACCUGCACUCCAUGCUUCCUUUUCAACAGCUCCAAGAGUGGGGUGUGGAACGGGUGGUGGGGAGUGGAAGUGCAUUGUCCAGGAAUGAGGUCCUGAAGCAGGAGGUCCAGAGGGCAUUUCCUUUCCCAGUGUGCUUUGGGCAGGAUGUAGAUGCAGCCUUCGGGGCAGCUUUGGUCAUGCUCCGGAGAGACAUCAGCUAGAAGGAGCCUUAGUUCUUCAAGCUCGUUGCCUUAAGGAAAUGCUGGGAAUCUUACCUAAUUGACAAUGUCAUCAUGAUCUCUGGGUUGUCCUUUUCUGGGAUGGUUCUGUGGGCAGACUGUAAAUUAUACUUGAUCUUGAGGUGCUAUCUAGACUGAUAAAGAUCUUCCCUUCAGGGCAUAUGGUAAUCAUACAGCCAGGAAGCUCUAACCAGACCCCAAGCUAGUGCCUUCCAAGAAUAGGAUCUUCCGAGAGCUGAUUGCAAUUGCAGAUGUGGGGGGAGGAGAGCAAGGGAGGGAAGAAAAUGGGAUGAGGGAGAGGAAGAAAGAAACAAACAGCUUCCUGGUCACUAGGCUCGGCUGUGAUUCAGUCAUAGACAGAAGGAAAAGAAAGAUGACUUAUGCAGCCAUGGCUCCAGCUAAGCAAAGAAGACCUGGUUUAUGCCCAGCGUUUGGACUGGUCCAGUUUUGUGUCAAAUGCAUUACUGGAAAAAUCCUCCCUGCCCUGUUGUAGCAGGUGGCUGGAGUCUCCUCUCCUAGUCUUGGGAAAUAGAAGGAUCCUUACUUAGUUCAGCAAGUUCCUUGUCUAAAGGAAUGCUGGGAACCUCAUCUAACCAGUCAGCUUGAUAGCCCUGUCAGUUGAAGGGACCAGCUAUAGCAUGUUCUCCAGUCAGAGAGAGAUCGAAGACAUGAAGCAACACGCAUUGGAGGAGGAAGCCAAGGUCUGUGUGCUUGCCUUGCUGUGUGCUUCAGGAAACGUGCUGCACCAUGGUUACCUCGAGUCCUCUCAACACAACCGGCUUAAAGGCACGUCCCAGAGAAGGGAAGGCAGGUGGCACGAACAGCUAAAGGGACCACAGAGCACUGUGACCAACACCGUCUGACAGACUGUUUUCAAGAUGGCAGCAAGGCACCCUAGCCCCUUUCUAUGACUAUGUAUGGCCACCUGUCUCCCUAACCCCUGCUACAAGAGGUGACCAGUUUCAUGAGAGAACCCUUAACCCACAGGUCCCACCCCUUUCUCCAUGGUGAAGAUCUUGCUGGCCUCUGGUGGUUCUGGCCCAGCAGAAAUGUCCUGUUCAGAUGGGCAUGCAUCUAGGGUCAGAGAACCACCAGUCUUUCCACAUUACAGUACCUCCGAGGAGAGGGUCACCAUCACUGUGUCUACUCCUAGACUCCUAAAGUACCCAAGGCUCGGAGGCACCUGUGACUUUUGGGGAGAAACCAUGUUGUCUCUUUGUAAGAGUCAUUUUAUAAGGAAUAUUAUUGUGGUAACCCCUUUGAUGAAUUUACCUCCCACUGCUGGCUAUCUGAAUAAAUUUCAUUUUUUUUCCAGA